This 497-nucleotide ribosomal RNA is filed under the name uncultured bacterium. RNAcentral describes it as "partial 16S ribosomal RNA". It matches the Rfam family "Bacterial small subunit ribosomal RNA", at positions 28 to 507 of the family's 1533-position model. The record is from RNAcentral.
GACGAACGCUGGCGGCGUGCCUAAUACAUGCAAGUUGAGCGCUGAAGGUUGGUACUUGUACCAACUGGAUGAGCAGCGAACGGGUGAGUAACGCGUGGGGAAUCUGCCUUUGUGCGGGGGACAACAUUUGGAAACGAAUGCUAAUACCGCAUAAAAACUUUAAACACAAGUUUUAAGUUUGAAAGAUGCAAUUGCAUCACUCAAAGAUGAUCCCGCGUUGUAUUAGCUAGUUGGUGAGGUAAAGGCUCACCAAGGCGAUGAUACAUAGCCGACCUGAGAGGGUGAUCGGCCACAUUGGGACUGAGACACGGCCCAAACUCCUACGGGAGGCAGCAGUAGGGAAUCUUCGGCAAUGGACGAAAGUCUGACCGAGCAACGCCGCGUGAGUGAAGAAGGUUUUCGGAUCGUAAAACUCUGUUGGUAGAGAAGAACGUUGGUGAGAGUGGAAAGCUCAUCAAGUGACGGUAACUACCCAGAAAGGGACGGCUAACUACGUG